UCGAGCGAUGGAUUAAGAGCUUGCUCUUAUGAAGUUAGCGGCGGACGGGUGAGUAACACGUGGGUAACCUGCCCAUAAGACUGGGAUAACUCCGGGAAACCGGGGCUAAUACCGGAUAACAUUUUGAACCGCAUGGUUCGAAAUUGAAAGGCGGCUUCGGCUGUCACUUAUGGAUGGACCCGCGUCGCAUUAGCUAGUUGGUGAGGUAACGGCUCACCAAGGCAACGAUGCGUAGCCGACCUGAGAGGGUGAUCGGCCACACUGGGACUGAGACACGGCCCAGACUCCUACGGGAGGCAGCAGUAGGGAAUCUUCCGCAAUGGACGAAAGUCUGACGGAGCAACGCCGCGUGAGUGAUGAAGGCUUUCGGGUCGUAAAACUCUGUUGUUAGGGAAGAACAAGUGCUAGUUGAAUAAGCUGGCACCUUGACGGUACCUAACCAGAAAGCCACGGCUAACUACGUGCCAGCAGCCGCGGUAAUACGUAGGUGGCAAGCGUUAUCCGGAAUUAUUGGGCGUAAAGCGCGCGCAGGUGGUUUCUUAAGUCUGAUGUGAAAGCCCACGGCUCAACCGUGGAGGGUCAUUGGAAACUGGGAGACUUGAGUGCAGAAGAGGAAAGUGGAAUUCCAUGUGUAGCGGUGAAAUGCGUAGAGAUAUGAGGAUUAGAUACCCCUGGUAGUCC
This 681-nucleotide ribosomal RNA is filed under the name Bacillus cereus. RNAcentral describes it as "bacterial SSU rRNA". It matches the Rfam family "Bacterial small subunit ribosomal RNA", at positions 62 to 722 of the family's 1533-position model. The record is from RNAcentral. Lineage: Bacteria; Bacillati; Bacillota; Bacilli; Caryophanales; Bacillaceae.